GGCGGGGCCGCACAGACCGACGGGAGAGACGCGCGUGGGCGGGUCGCGAGGGGACUGUGACGUCAUCCGCAUGGAGGGUGUUUGUUGCGCCGCCUCCGGCUCCGGAACUAUGGGUAGUCCCGCCCACUUCCCCCUCAUACCCAAAGAACGGAGCAUUGGGCAGGUUGAUCGGCACCCACCCCAGCCGUCAAUUCAUUGGCCAAAGUUGCCCGCCACUCAUCAAAGCCUCGCCCCAAUCGGCAGAGGACUGGUUCCUCCAGUUCUCCCCCGCCCCCCAGCCUCUCUUCAGUGACUCAGCAGAGGGAGGACAGCGUCGCCGUAUCCUCGGAGAUCUUUCGCCUUACACUGGGGCCGGAAGUCAGGCAUGAGCCGGAAGCAGCUGAUGAGGGCUCGCGGGAAACGACCGUUUGGCCCCGCCCUUUAGCGCACGCCUUCGCUCCCGGCUUCAUUUGGCGCGGAGUGCCCACGUGGGCCUGGGGGGGGGGGGGGGGUGGAGAAACCAACUUUCCCGGAAAGGCACGGGGAGGGAAAAGUGGGGCUAGUGAGUGGGCUUGAGGCUGUUGGCAGAAAAACAAAGGAUUCCUGCCCCACAUAUACUGUCUCCUAUCUCCAGAUCUUUGCCCAGGCUAUCCUCUUGGUCCAGAAUGCACUGCUUCCCCGCCCAGAUUUGUACACUGAUCCUAAGGACCACGUUGGAGAGGGAGGAUAUGCGAAAGGCUCUCAUUUCUGUCUUGAUACCCCAGCCCCCAACCCCCAGCCCAGGAGACACACACAAAUGCCAGCUGAUUGAUUAGCAAAGAAGCCAAGGAGAAGGGAGGGCUCAGGCUACUUCGGAGCCCCCUAGGCACCCGCAGCAACUAUCUUUUGCCUCCCCUGCCCCCAGCACCACCUUCUUCCCAACAAAUUCUCAACACCAGAUGAAGGACAUCAAGAACAAGAGUUAAACUGCCGAAGAGGUUCAGCGGGAAGAAAGAAGACCAAGUCCUCCUGUCUCUGCCCCCAGGCCCAAUGACCCUGAAUUCUGAACCUCCGUCUAGUGUGUUCAAGGGAACAUAUUCCAGAGGAAGUCGGGGGAUUCAUGUGAAGUACAGAGGAAACCGAAGAACCCCCCCCCCCCCAAAGGGCAGCAGAAGUUACAACACCGACAUGUGGAAGUAGACAGGCAAUGGACGUGCUGGCAGUUGUUUGUGUGGGGCUGAAUGCAGCUAGGAAGAGCCUCUUCCUGAACCCCAGAACCAAGACCUUCCCAAGAAGGGCUGAGAUGGUCCAAAAUGGGAGUUCUGUGGACACUCCCUGUUUGGGCUUCUUUACUGUCCAAAUAUCACCCACUCCCAAGCCUUUGGCAAUUUUGCAAAACUACUUAACCCUCUUCUGUUGCUCCUCUCAAACACUCUAGUGUUGUUUAUCCCACUUUUCCCAAACCCAGGUUUUCGUUUAAAUCCUUAUUUUGUUACCCCCAUUUUUCCCUCCACUUGGUUUACUUUUAAGUCCUUAUUUUCUAUCAUAGUAUCAGUUCUAAGGCAGAAAAGUAGCCAGGGCUAGGCAAUGGGGUCACACAGCUAGGAGGUGUCUGAGGUCAAAUUUGAACCCAGGCCAUUUCAUCUCCAGAUCUGGUGUUAUAUCCACUGUACUCCCUAGCUUUAGAACUGUGUUUUUAAACCCUGCACCUCUUAGACCCUUCUGUACCCACUGUUUAGUGUUCCUAGAUUGCACUCAGCCCAACUGGAUAAAAGAAGACUCUUCUUUUUGCUACUUUGAUAGUCUUCCUUAUUUCAAUUUGACAUGUCUGGCAUCAGAUGUGGGAUUAAAAAUUCCUUCCAGCUACCUGCCAUUUUCAACCUCAGAAAUCCAGUACUAAGAACCCUCUGUGUUCCAGUAGAGAUUCAGCUUGGUUUGGCAUGUAAGUCUCUCAAAUUUCUGAGCUCCCAUACGUUUUUGGUUGUGUUCCUAGCUCUUUAAAGGUUUAAUAAAGACUCCUGGGCAAUUUUAAGUCCAUUCUGAGAGAUGCCCCCUAAAGGAAAUGCUGCCAGACUUUUAUAUAUUUUUAUGGAGUGUUAUUUGUGUUGUCUGCUAUGUAGUAUGUGUGUGUGACACAGAGAGAAAGAGAGAGAGAGAGAGAGAGAGAGAGAGAGAGAGAGAGAGAGAGAGAGAGAGAGAGAGAUAGCACAGCCUCUGGAGACUAAAGGAAUGUACCAACCACUGUCUCACAGUGUGUAAUUCUCCUCAUUGGAGCUUAGAAGGAAAACACUUUGCUUAGUUUCAAAUUAUGGACAUACUUGCCAGUACAUGGAUUAUUGGCAGAAUUUAACUAAGUCUGACCUCUGAAACUAUUGAACACAGUAAAUUUUCUUUGAUUGCAAUAAAAUUAACUUUUUGUGGUUUACUUGGAAUCAAUAUUGUCAUUGUUCCAAGGCAGAAGAGUGGUAAGGCUAGGUAAUUGGGUUUAAGUGAUUUACCCAGGGUUAAAGAACUAGGAAGUAUCUGAGGCCACAUUUGAAUCCAGGACCUCUCAUCUUCAGGCCUAGCUUUCUAUCUACUGAUCCACCUAGCUGCCCCUGUGGUUUACUCUUGAUUCUGUUGACCCUAAGACUGAGGACCCACUGGCUCUUUGAAACAAUCAAAAGGAAUAAUAAAGUGGAGGAAUUCCAUGGUGACUGGAACAACCUCCAGGACAUGAUGCAAAGCGAAAGGAGCAGAACCAGGAAAACAUUGUACACAGAGACUGACACACUGUGGUACAAGAGAACAUAAUGGACUUCUCCAUUAGUGUCAAUACAAUGUCCCUGAACAUUCUGCAGGGAUCCAGGAGAAAAAAACACUAUCCACAAGCAAAGAACAAAUGGUGGGAGUAAAAACACUGAAGAGAAGCAACUGCUUGACUACAGGAGUGGAAGGGACAGGAAUGAGGAGAGACUCUAAAUGAACACCCUAAUACAAAUACCAACAACAUGGAAAUGGGAUUGAAGCAAGGACUCAUGUGAUACCUAGUGGAAUCAUGCGUUGGCUAGGGGAGGGGAGGGGGGGAGGGGGGAGGACAAGAAAAGGAUCUUUGUUUCCAAGGAAUAUUGUUUGAAAAUAACCAAGUAAAAUAAUGUUUAAAAAAAAAAGAAACAAUCAAGCAGGGAUCUAGAUCUAAAUCUAAAUUCUCCUCCCUUCAAGAGAGAAUAUCCAACAAUUAAAAUAAUUAUUUUUUUAAAAGGUGGGGAGGCUGAGAAUAAGGUCUAUGUCAGUGAUGGCAAACCUUUUAGAGAUGGAGUGCUGCCCUCCCCCACAGGCCAUGCCCCAACCUUGUACCCCACAAAGGGGAGGGAGGAAGCACUUCUAUUGGGCUGAUGGGCAAAGGUGGGCCGAGGUGAGGAAUGUCCUCAGCAAGUAGAGAAGGGUAAGGGAGUGACCCAAGCUCUCUGUGUUAUGUAGUAAGACCCUAACAUCUGUUCCCCUCCAGCUCUGCCACGGGUGAGCCACCCACCUUACCCCCUGUACAAUCCUAUUGGGUUUCUGGGCAAAGGGGUGGGUGAGAUGAAAAAAAAAAUGUCAUCAGGCACUGUGGAGACAAGGAGGGGAGCAGCUCCACCAAGUCCCUCUGCCUUUCUAGUAAUGAAUGGGAAGAGGUGGGGGGCCAAGUGUCACAGAGCUGUCUUUGGCACCCAAUCCAUAGGUUUGCCAUCACUGGUCUUUGUCCUUCAGGAGAAGGACUCCAAAUUAAAGAAGGAAAAAGAAGAAAGCAAAAGGCAGUUUUAAGAUUUACAGACAGUGGAAUUGCUUCUCAGUUCUGAGACUGAGGAGGGAAGAGGGGAGGGAAAGAAAUCAUGUAAACAUGGGAAAAUAUAUUUAAAAUAGAGCUAAAGAUUUACACAGAUGUGGAAGAAUUUGAGGAGGCCCUGAGGGAUACUCUUUCAAGGCUGGCCUCUUCAAAAAGUCUCUCCUCUGAAAAAAGAAAGUAACUAUGAAGACUAAUUCUGGGGAGUCCAACUAGGUAACCCAACCAACAAAGGUGUUCUACACAGUGAUGAGGAAUCUCUGAACAGAAAAAGGACUUCCAGGCCCUACUAUAGCACCACAAGCUGUGGCUUAAUUUUGGUAUAUAUAAACCUUUCAUGUGUGCUUCAUUGCCAUUGCUUUCUAAAUUUAAAUUCAUUCUUCUCAUGGGUACUGAGUAUGACCUAAAUGUGUGUGGGGAUAUUUUGUACCAUUCUUACUCAUUUUAAACACUUUUGAUAGGAGCUAAUUAUUAAAGAAAAAAAAAACAACUCUCCUCUGCCCUUGGACCUUCACCCUCUGGAUGCUGGGCCCAAUUCACAGGGUGGCAAGAUGUUCUUCUAUUGUUGGGAGUGAAGCCACUGGGGAGGGAUUGCUUCCAAUACCAACUUUCCUCUGAGAAGAGUCUCAGGGCAAAAUAAAACAACUGACCUGAUUCAAAUUGACAGGGCUCCAAGGAUACAGAGGGGGGGUUUUGCCCUAGUGACUGCAUCUCCAGUAGGAGCCAUUCACAUUGUAGUAGCUUCUCACGCUAUUGGCACCAUGCUAAUCUGUCCUAAAUCCCCCUGAUUUUCCUGAUCCUCUCAAAGUUCUAGAGUGCUUUCAACCGUGUAAGGUCUGUCUGUAUUUCCCACCCCCUUCCCUUUAUCCUCAAGGGUUUAUCCAUUUCACCUCUGGAGACAAGUGGAAAGGACCAAACUAAGUGGCAGCUUGCUUGUACAAAAGGCUAAAUUUGUGUGACCCUGGGCAAGUCACUUGACCCCCAUGGCCUAGCCCUUACCACUCUUCUGCCUUGGAGCCAAUACACAGUAUUGACUCCAAGACGGAAGGUAAGGGUUUAAAAAAAAAGGCUAAAUUUGAAGAUGCUUAUUUUAAGUGGGAUGAUUGGGGUAGAUUUAAACCUCAUAUCAGGCUGCUACUUUUAACAUCUCUGGCAGUGGAUUAAUUAGAAAUAGGGCGUCCCAUAAUUGGGAAUACUUUGAAUAAUUGGUCCUGGUGACAAAUUCUAAAUGGAGAUCUUUUGUGAUUCCAUUUGGGAUGUUUGAGUCUUGCUCUUUGGCCAUGAUAUCAGCUCUGCUACCAAUACAGCAUAAGGUUUUGUAGUGCAAUUAAUAGUGCAAUUAAUAGCAAACACUCUAAACCUCUAGAAGCCAAUAUUCUUUUGGAGCUUUGGCAGGCAGCUAUCCUGUGAACUUAAAAAGUGCCUUUCCACACCCAUACCUAACCAUACUGGCUUUUUUAAGAGCAGAGGGGAAGGGUGGCUCCAGGCAUUUUGACCCAGUUCUUUAGCUCCUCCACCCAUCCCUACCCUUACUGUGCGGCUGCUUCAAGGCUUUCCCAUAUCUGGUGAAACUCCAGAAUACAGUUGCUAAGGAAAUGAGAUCACCCCUUGACAAAGUUUAUAGCACUGUGGAAGUUUAUAGGACUGUUGUGAUUACGAAAUUAUACUAGGAAUAGCCUGUGCUGAAAUUUCAAAAUUCCUUUUUGAAUUGAUAUGUGUUUGAAAUUGAAAAUUUUGCAAUAAAUUAUGAGACUCCUUGAUAAAUUUUGUAUUUGAAUUUUUGAGAAGUAUUUUGCUUCUUGCCCCAAAGAAGAAAGAAGCUUAUUUAAGAAAAUAACUUGACAGACACUUCCCAGCUGUGAGACCCUGGGAAAGUCACUUGACCCCCAUUGCCUAGCCCUUACCAUUGUUCUGCCUUGGAGCCAAUCCAUAGUAUUGACUCCAAGAUGGAAGGUGAGGGUUUAAAAAAAAAAGAAAGUAACUUGAAAUGUACUUUAUAUUGACUAAUUUAAUAUUAUUUUUAAACCCUUACUUUGAUCUUAGAAUCAAUACUGUAUAUUGCUUCUAAGGCAGAAGAGUGGCAAGAGCUAGGUCAUGGGGGUUAAGUGACCUGCUCAGGGUCACACAGCCAGAAAAUAAAAGUCAAAUUUGAAUCCAGGACCUCCUAAAGUCUCUAGGCCUGAUUCUCAAUCCACCAAGUCAGCUAGCUGCCCCCUCCUUAUGUUUAUUUAGAAAAAUGCUUUAUGUUACUUAACUAAUAUACUAGAACUUAAUUGUUAUUUUAACCCACCAGGUUUUGGUAAGCUGUUAAAGAGUUUUAUAAUUACUGAAAACAUCUAGAAGGAUUUUUGGUGCUUCCAUCUUUUAGAGAAUAACAGAAUUGGAAAUAAUUCAGUACAGUUUAACUAUUAUAGAUAUUUAUCGACAACAUCUUACAACUACGAAUCACCUUUAUUUCUAGAUCUUGAUGAAGAACAUCAGGAUUCACCUGAUCAAACAAAGACAUGCCUUAGAAGUAACCCUGCAGAGGAUGUUCCUGCACAAGAUGAGUUUCAGACUAGCCUUGCAUUGUCUCAGAGCCCUGGUAAAACCUCCAAAGGCUUUCUCUUCCAUGGGUUAUUGUCGUCCUGUCCCAACCUACCCUCCAAGCUGCUAUGAACAUCUGUUGCAAGGCAGAAGUUUCUCCCUUGUUGCCCAGACCCAGAGACCCCCUCCCAUCUUUUGGGGAAUACUAUAAAACCUGUAACUUCCUCCUCCUCCUCCUCCUCCUCCCCAGACUUGGUUCUAUUCCAACCCUGGGAUGUGUGUCCUAUUUUCUCCUCCAGGAAAUAAACCAUUUUGCUGAGCAUUGUGCUCUCUGGUUUUUAAGGGUCAGCAAUGCUCACAGAAAAAGGAGAAAUUCAAGAAACUAAAGAUUAGAGAACAAGAACUAGGCGGAAAUAUUAUUGGAAUAAAGAGAAUUUAUGAAAUGAACAAAAUAAAAGGAAAGUUAAGGGAAGAAUCUGUAGGAAGCAAGGAAGUUUCAGGGAAUGACUGAACAACAUGGUGGUGGUAUGUGUAAUGUUGGAAUUCUAUGGAGCCAUAAGAAAUGGGAUGAAUGAGAUGAUUUCAGGAAAACUUGGAAGCACUUACAUGAACUGAUGAAAAGUGAAGCGAGCAGAACCAGGAGAACAUCUGUAGGUGGUAACAGAAACAGCAGUGAAGGACUAAACAAUUAUCAGCAAUUCCAAGACAACCCUGUGGUUGAAAAGUGCUCGCCACAGCGGUAGAAGGAACUUCGGCUGACAAACGCAGAUUAGACACUCAUUUCUUGCCUUAUUUCCUUCAUAAUUUUUUUUCUUACGUGUGAUAUAUGUCGUGGGGAAUAGAGAGAGUCUGGACUCCUCCCAGGGAAGUGCAUCUGAAGGAGGUGAUGAGCCAAGUUUUGUUUUCCCCAAAGGGGCACCUAGCAACUGAAACUGCAGAUCAGGAACCCCCUCCUCCUCCUCAGUUUGGUUGAAGAAAACAUUAUAGUGUACAGAUAAAUAGGAUUAGAAAUGUGCUCUGCCCUGAUGGGCUGGGACCAAUAUCUAGUAUAAUUAGGUCUUGUCAGGGACCAGGAUAAAAGAAGGCUGGCUGCCUGCUCCCACACCUUGUCCUUGCCUGCUGGCUGUCACACUUGUAACACCAGCUCCAGCACCCAUCCUCACAAGGAUGAAAUCAAAGAGCCCUUGACACACUGACACUGAGUUCUAGUUCAGGAUUCUUUUGAGUAGGUGGGCAUUCCUCUCCUAAGUCUUCUUUCGCAACAGGAAGAAUAAGAAAAUGAGUAUUGCACCACAACAUUGGAACGAACGACCUGUAUAUCAGAUGGUUUGGCCCCUGGGUUGGAAGGAGGGAGAGAAUUUGGAUGGCAAAAGCUCAGAAAGCAAUGGUUAAGAAAAAUUGUUUCUACAUUAACCACCCAGCAUGUAAAGACUGCUUCAGCCGAACAGGAGGAAGAAAGCAAUAAGAAGGUUCAACGGCUGAGAGGGCGACGCAGCAAGGCACUGUGGAGUGCUUAGGGCGUGAUGGAGCACAAAAGACCACAGGGCCAUCCAAUGCAGCUGAGGAAGUCUCCAGGUGUAACGACUUUUCGUGCCACUGGACCCAGGCUUCCAACGCCGAGAGAGUGGGAUCUGUCUCUGUGCACCGACUUUUCCACUUAAAUCUUCAUGCACAGGUGUCUUUGUGCACACUCAUCUAUCAUAGAUGAAAACGCACAAAGACAAUCGUCAUCCUCAGUUACCGAGAGACUACUACUAGUAAACAAGGAGCAGUUCCACUGGGUUUUACAUGUGUCAUUGAUCAAGCCCUAUUUCUAUAUUAUUGAUGUUUGCACCAGGGUGAUUGUCUAGAGUCUACAUCCCCAAUCACAUCCCCAUGGAACCAUGUGAUCAAGUAGUUGUUUUUCUUCUGUGUUUCUGCUCCCACAGUUCUUUCUCUGGAUGUGAAUAAGUCUUAAUUUAAUCAUAUAUUGAGAUUAGUUGAUUAUCCUUAACUGACUAAAUGUAUAUUAAUGUCUUAAUGUCAUUUAAUACUAAAGAAAUAGUCACUGCCUCUAUGGAAUCAGUUAAAAUGGAUAAUACUGAUAAGGAAUUAGCCUAGGGGUAAAACCUUUGAAUUAGAAGAGGCAGGGUCUACUAAUUUCUUAGGGAUAAGUUGUUUGUUUGUUUGUUUGUUUUUAAAAACCCUUACCUUCCUCAUCUUGGAGUCAAUUCUGGGUAUACUGUGUAUUGGCUCCCAGGCAGAAGAGUGGUAAGGGCUAGGCAGUGGGGGUUAAAAGACUUGCCCAGGGUCACACAUUUUGGAAGUGUCUGAGGCCAGAUUUGAACCUAGGAUCUCCAGUUUCUAGGUCUGACUCUCAAUCCACUGAGUCCCCCAGCUAGCCCCUUAGGGAUAAGUUUUAAGCUGUAUUUGAGGAGAAAUACUAGUAGUAAAAAAAAAGUAGUAAAUAAACUCUUUUGUGAUUUUUUUUGAAGGUCUGAUAAAUGUUUGUUUGCUAGCUACUCAUUGCAAGGACUUGAGAGUACUAAUAACAAUUGUGUCCAAUCCUUCUGGGGUUCUUGAGCUUCAGGCUUGUUGUGUCCUUGGGCCAAUGUUUCACUACUUCAAGGAAAAUGCCAGUGGCUAUGAAGUCUGAGAUCUGGGGCCAGUGGAGAUCUGUGUCUGAGAAAAAAGGUUGGGAGGGUCACCUUGGGAGGCAAAGCCCCUCCUGACUCAGUUUCUCCUAUAAGAAAUCUUCCCACCUGGUUAAUUCUGCAGCUGGUUGUGGUGUUCUGUCAUGCCCUUGGCUUGUACUGUUUUUACCUAAAAUCAAGUGGAACUGAGGAUUCUUUAUCCUAUUUAUAUGUGUUGUCAUUCUGGGCUUAGACCUAGAGGACCAGUAUUGAUGCUGCCCCUACUUUUUCCUCUCAUAGAAAAUCUUUCUAACCAAGGCAAGUUAAGCUGUGAUUUUUAUGAUGAAUCUGAUUGUUACAGUUUCAUAUUCUGAACAACUGAGUAAAUGAGUCUUUGGCCUUUUCAUUGGCCUGUUCAUAGUUAUUGAAAAAAAUUCUUUAACUUUUCAGAACAAUUAGACUAUGAUGUAAGUGUGGGACUGAAAUUUCAAGUUCAUCUUCAGGUGUCUGUUAGUUUGUUUGUUUUUUUAAACCCUUCCCUUCCCUCUUAGAAUCAAUAGUAUGUACUGGUUCCAAGACAGAAGAGAGGUAAGGGUUAGACAAUGGAGGUUCAGUGACUUGCCCAGGGUCACCCAGCUAAGAAGUGUCUGAGAUCAAAUUCGAACCCAGGACCUCUAGGUCUGACUCUAAAUCCACUGAGUUAUCCAGCUGCCCCCCUCCCGUUUUGUUUUAAUGAAAAAAAAUAUUAAUGUAAUCAGUUUUCAUAAAGGAGAAUAAGUUAUGGAAUGUCUUAUUGUUAUCGGCAGGAAGGAUACCCUUUGGGGUUCGGGAAGGAUGCCUUUUGCAAGCAUGCAAUGACUCCAAAACUUAGCUUAAAAACAAAGAGAUUUAUUAAUUUAGAAAGUAAUGUUGAGAGUGGCCAGGAGGAUAGCAAGGUGGAACAGCAAGAUGGGGAGCAGUUCCCUGGGAGGACAGCAUGAAAGGAAAGGCUGUUCCACCAUGGGGACAGCGUGGAUGGAGAGGCUGUUCCCCCAGACGACAUCAGUUCUGGGGAUUAUAUACUCUUUAAAACAGAGUUAGUCACUCAGCCAUGAGGUGGGGUGAUCAUACUAGGGUCUGCCUGGGGACAUAAAGAUUCCUUAGUUUUAGGGAACAAACAGAUGUCUGAUAGGAUCCAGGUGUGGCCUGAAGGUGCAUCUUUCUGUCCAUCUAGAGGACGAUCAAAGGAAGAUAGUCAUCUCAGGACCCUAGAGGGGUCAUUGGGUGUUUUUAGGCUCAGAGUCAGAAAAACAAGGGAGUUCCCCUGACAAUAGCUCGCCUGGGUUUCUGGGUUACAGUGCCCUGUCAUUAUGUUACCUCAAUGGAAAAGUCUUUUAUUUAGCUUUAUCAUUUUAUUUGGAAUUAACACCUUUUGGGAGCGUGUCCUGUGGUGCAAACAUGUUUUGUCCUUAAUAUAGUUACACAUCCCAUCUCAGGGCUUUUUGCUGCAAUUGAAAUAAUACUUGCAAAUUGUUGAGUGCUUCUUUAUUUAAACAAGAGUAUUAUGUUCUCUAGUCCUACUAAUAGGAGAAGGGAAUUAAAAUUAACAGGAAAUUUUGAGUUCUAAGUCGUAAAAUGGAGUAUAUGUUUUGAGAAAACAAGGUCAAAUGACUCCAUGUGUAAUUUAAAAGGUAUUUAGAAAUUUGAAAGGUUUUAGGGUUCUGCCUUCUGUGAUAUUCUAAAUGUUUAGCUUUUGACUUUUCAGUUUGUAGUUCAGUUUCUUUUUCUUUUUAAACCCUUACCUUCCAAGUUGGAAUCAAUAUUGUGUAUUGGCUCCAAGACAGAAGAGUGGUAAGGGCUAGGCAAUGGGGGUUAAGUGACUUGCCCAGGGUCACACAGCUAGGAAGUGUCUGAGGUCAGAUUUGAACCUAGGACCUCCUAUCUCCAGAACUGGCUCUCAAUCCAUUGAGCUACCCAGCUGCCCCUGUAGUUGAGUUUCUUAAAUAUGUCAGUGUAGCAGUUUGCUAACUUAUCUCAGAGGAAGUAGCCUGCUAUAUCAGGUACUGAAGAACCAGCUCCCAAACCCCUUCUUUCCCUUCCCUGACCCCAGGAGUUCCUGUUCACUCCCUCUACCACAAAAGGGUAUAAAAAGCCUGCAAGCCCUAGACUCAUGGCCAGCCAUUUUUAGAGUGCUGAGCCCAAACGGCAGUUUGUUUAAUAAACUCCCUCCUGUGUGUUACAUUGUUGGUCUUGUUUCAUCCUUGGGAUCAUUAACCAGGCACUUAAGUACAGGAUUCAGAAAAAAUACUGAAAUAGCAAGGGGUAUUAAGGCACUGAAAUUCUGUGAAGUUUCCAGUGAACUAGGGGCUCUUAAUCUAAUGUUCUUCUUGUAGUUCUAUUGUUAAUAUGAUCAGAACCACAGAGUUUGAGCUGUAAUAAUGAAUUAUUGGUAGGAAUUCAUUAUUGAUCAGGUCAAUCCUGUUUCUGAAACCUCCAAGUUUGCCCUUGUCCUGUAGGAAGGAACUUGCUUUGGGGGAAGUGCUAGACUGGCCUGAUCUCCAAACUGAGCAAUAGACCUAAAAGGACUUAAUGGCCUCAGUUUAGAUAAGAUUAAUCUUAGGUACCCUUCCUAUUUUAAAAGUUUAUUGCCAUGCCAUUAAGCAGAGACCCUUCCCUGAUAGUCCAGCCCUAGGCUGGAAACAUCUUUUUAUAACUAGAAUAAAGCAUAUGCCUCUUCCUGUUUGUCAAGAUCUGGGCUCCUCAUUUCCUUUUAUCUCCUGUAGAGCUAAUCAAUCACAUUUCCCAGCCCUUUGUUCCCCCAGAAGGUAUAUAAGAUCCCCAAGUUCUGUCAGUCUUUGGAGAAUCAUCUUUGGCGGUGCAUUCUCCCAGAGACACUGUUCCCAGAGUCUCAGAGCUUUGGCUGUUUGUGGUAUUUAGUGCUUGACUCUGUGUGGCCGACAGAUAUUAAGAACUUGUCUCUUAUCCAGAUUAAAGACUUGGUUUUUCAGGGGGCAGCUGGGUAGCUCAGUGAAUUGAGAGCCAGGCCUAGAAACAGGAGGUCCUGGGUUCCAAUCUGACCAAAGACACUUCCCAGCUGUAUGACCCUGGACAAGUCACUUAACCCCCCAUUGCCUAGCCCUUGACACUCUUCUGCCUUGGAACCAAUAUACGAUACUGAUUCUAAGACAGAAGGUAAAGGUUUAAAAAAAAACAAACUUGGUUUUUCUGACUAUUUUAGUGGUUCUCUGUUUUUCCAGGUUGACAAUAAUGAGCUCCAAUAAUUAAUGAAUUAUUGGAGAAAUAGAAUUUAGAGGUUUGUGCUAAAGUGUAUUGAUUUUAAUAAGAAUAUUAAAGGAUCUACAAACAAUAUGGAAGCAGAAAAGCAAAUCUAUUAUGGAAGAUCAACCCUUUCAGACCUCCAGACAGGCCAAGAGAAAUUGUUUCCAAAAGACCAAAUGGCUGUGGAGGACAAAUGGGAUUCAAGAUGAAUAUGCUCAGUAAUAUGGAUAUCAGGGGCAGAUUACCUUCCACCAAUUGGUGGAAAGCUUUCCAAGUGGGACUGAGCCUGAUUCCUGCCCCCUUUGGUGGAAUUGAUGGCCUUUUCUACCCAAGUUUCCUCCUUAGGCAAGUAUUCCAGGCCUUCCUGGGCACCCUCCAUAUCAUUUUCCUGUUUCUUCUUUCCAGAAAUUGCCUUGCAUGUUCAGCAAAACUUGGAACUAAGAUGAACACCGAACUCCUUGAUUCCUUCUUUGGUCAACGAUGGAAUUCAUCUUGACCAAAAAGAGUUGAAUGUAGCUAGCUGUGAGCCAUAAACUGCCCAAAGAGGAUAGAGAUGGUCCAAAGCAAUUAAAAACUGGCUCUAUUCGUUUUUUUAAGCCUGCUGAGCCCUUACCAGUUGAAGUUAAGUGUCUUGCCCAGGAUCCCAUAGUCAGGAAGUGUCUGAGGUCAGAUUUGAAACUAGGUCCUUCCAACUCCCUGUCCAAAGAACCACCUAAUUUCCCCUUAUUAUUUCUUUUGGACACUCCCUGUUGCUGACCACUUUUUUGAUCAAAUGUCACCAUUUCCCAGCCUUUGCCCAUUUUCAAAAAAAAUAGUAGCCUUUCCUCAAAUGUUACCCACCCCAGCCCUCACCAUUUCCUCCUCCAGUGUGUAUUUAAACUCUGCCCUUUCUGCCCAGUGUGGUCACUCCUACAACCCAGUGCUGUGCAAUGACUGCACCUUGAUUAAAAAUCCUCAUUGGAAUUCCAUGUGAACUGGAAUGACAUGAUGCAGAGUGAAAGGAGCAGAACCAGGAGAACAUUGUACACAGAGACACAUACAUUAUGGCACAAUUGAAUGUAAUGGACUUCUCUACUAGUAGCAAUACAAUGAUCAGAACAAUUCUGAGGAUCUUAUGAGAAAGGUGCUCUCCACACCCAGAGAAAGAACUGUGGGAGCAGAAACACAGAAGAAAAACACCUGCUUGGUCACAUGGGUCGAUGGGGAUAGGAUUGGGGAUGUAGACUCUAAGCGAUCACCCUGGUGCAAAUAUCAAUAAUACAGAAAUAGGUUUUGAUCAAUGACACGUGUUAAACCCAGGAGAAUUGUGUCUAGGCUAUAGG
This is a non-coding RNA of Monodelphis domestica (gray short-tailed opossum), 13478 nucleotides long. Lineage: Eukaryota; Metazoa; Chordata; Mammalia; Didelphimorphia; Didelphidae. The record is from RefSeq and is a predicted model, not a curated record.